Molecule: ribosomal RNA, 468 nt
Filed under: uncultured bacterium
Lineage: Bacteria
Description: partial 16S ribosomal RNA
Rfam family: Bacterial small subunit ribosomal RNA
Source: RNAcentral
GACGAACGCUGGCGGCGUGCUUAACACAUGCAAGUCGAACGGAAAGGCCCUGCUUUUGUGGGGUGCUCGAGUGGCGAACGGGUGAGUAACAAGUGAGUAACCUGCCCUUGACUGUGGGAUAACUUCAGGAAACUGGGGCUAAUACCGGAUCGGAGCUCCUGCUGCAUGGUGGGGGUUGGAAAGGUUCGGCGGUUGGGGAUGGACUCGCGGCUUAUCAGCUUGUUGGUGGGGUAGUGGCUUACCAAGGCUUUGACGGGUAGCCGGCCUGAGAGGGUGACCGGCCCCAUUGGGACUGAGAUACGGCCCAGACUCCUACGGGCGGCAGCAGUGGGGAAUAUUGCACAAUGGGCGGAAGCCUGAUGCAGCAACGCCGCGUGCGGGAUGACGGCCUUCGGGUUGUAAACCGCUUUCGCCUGUGACGAAGCGUGAGUGACGGUAAUGGGUAAAGAAGCACCGGCUAACUACGUG